GUCAGUUUUUAAUAUUCUCUUUUUUCCAUUUACUAAUUUUAUUGUUUGUAUUUGGAGCACAGUUUUUAUUUUAUGUCUAUGCUGUGUGUCUUACUAUUGAGCUACAUGAUUAUAUUUUCUCUUUUACUAAUAUCAGUAGGAUGUGGAUGUUAUUUAUACAUGUCUUUUUCCUUAUUAUUUAUCAGUCUGUCUAGAGGUUAUCAAUUGUAAAAAAAUAAACCAGCUUUUAGUUUCAUCUUUUUUUCUAUUUUUUAAACUUUUAAUAUAAUUGAUUUAUUUUCUACUCUUUAUUAUUUUCUUCCUUCUAUUUGCUUUGGGUUUAAUUUGCUUUUCUUUCUCUAGUGUCCUAAUGUAAGUAUUUAAUGUUAGUAUCACAAUGAAAUCUUCAGGCAAUAUUUUCUCACUGCAUUUAUUUGUCUGAAAAAGUAUUUCACCUUCAUUGCUGAAAGAUAUUUUCUCUAGGUAUGGAGAUCUGGGUUGACAGGCUUUUUUAUUUCUUUCAAAAAUUUAAAGCUGUGAUUCCAAUAUCUUCUGACUUGUAGGCUUUCCGACGAGAAGGUGACUGUAAUUUUUGUCUUUGUUUCUCUGUAAUGUGAUGUGUCUUUUCACUGGCUGCCUUCAAAAUUGUCUUUUUAUGUUUUUCAGCCCUUUGAAUAGGAUAUGUCUAGGCAUAUGAUAUUUUUCAGUCUUGCUUUGCAAUCGCUUAGCCUCUUGAAUCUUUUUUAAAUGUCUUUCAUUAUUUUUGGAAAAUUUAUCUUUUCAAAUAUCUCUCUCGUUUUGUGCUCUCUCCUCCUUCUGGGUCUUCAAUUACAAGUAUUUAGAUGAUUUGAAAUUGUCACACAGCUUUUUGAUGCUCCGUUCUGUUUGUAUUCAUUCUUUUUUUCUCUGUCUUUAAGCUUUGGUGAUGCCUGUUGACCCAUCUUCAAGUUCAUGAUUCUUUCCUUAGCCAGGCCAAGUCCAUUGUUGAACCUGCUGAAGGAAUCCUUCAAAGGAUCUUUUAUUAUGCCCUAGGGCUGACCAGCUUUAUUUUUCUGCUUGAAGCAUUUGCUUCUCUAUGAGACAAGGGAUCAGGCAGGGAAGAAGGGUUUUUAUUUUUCCUGCAAUGGCAGCUACUCCCUCCUCCAUGCCUUCAUCAGCAGAGGAGGUCCUCCUGUCUCUUAUCCUGUUCUCUUGAACAGCCACUGGAGAUCUAUGGAAAAGAGCUUGCAGUGUUGGUCUGCAAGCUUCAAGAGCCAGUGACCCUGACUGCCAAGUGAUUUGCCGAAGGGAAUUAUGGUUUUGCAUUUGAUGGUUUCCAGGAACUGCUAAGAGUGAGAUCAUCCCUGAAGCAGUGACUGCCAGAGGAAGGCGAGAGACAUAUGGUGGCCUUACAGGAGAAGAACAUGUCUCAGAGAGCUCCUACUCCUCCAGUUUUGGCCCCAGAAUGAAACACAGGAAGAAGACCUGAAUUUGAUUUGCAUUUCAAAGUAGAACUGUCCCAGCUGACAUGAAGACUGAUGAAUAAGGAAUAAGUAUUUAUUGUUGUAUGUCACUGAUAUUUCUGUGGUCGAUUAUGUGUAGAAGAGCUGACUUGUACACUUACAUAAACUUGAAGAAGACUGAAUUUAGAAAUGGAGUUUCUGCAUAUGGUUAUGUCUGAGUAGCUCCAAGUGGAUCAUCCCUCCCACAGAUAACAACUCUAAACUCUGGACAAAAUAUAAAAAUAACAAUUUCCUGAAUAUCAAAGAGCAACCCAAAUCAUGCAGAUACUGGGUAAGUUUUAUAGGAAAUUUUUUAUAGCUUAAGACUAUGCAGCAGUCAGUAUCAUAUGGCAUGACUAAAACCUACAUAGGGAGAAAUGGUGUAGAGUAUGAAAAGCAACUACCACAGCUAAAAGGUGAGGAGGAAUAUCCAAGAAGGAGAGAGCUAAAGAGAGGCUCCUGGUUUUUGUGGAUACAUGCCACCCAAAUCUAUGGUUCAUCCCUGAACCAGAGUAUGCACAGUAAAUUUUAUUACAAUUUCACCUAGGAAUAAAAUAAUUGAACUGAAAUUUCAUAGUUGAGGGUUUGAGAAUGGCUAAGUUAACUACUUGCUAUUAUCAAAAAUCAAUACUCUUCAAAGAACAUAAAGGAAUCCAGAGUCUCUAAAACAUAUAAUUCAUAAAGUCCUAGAUAGAACACAUGAAAAAAAUCACAAUCUCACAUGGAAACUGGAAAAUAUGAUCCAAUAUCAAGAGAAAAUGUAAUCAUUGGAGACUGACCCAGAUAUUGGAAUAAGCAGAUAAGAAUAUUAAAGCAGCCAUAUAACUAAUGAUUCCCAGGUACAUGAAGUAAAAUAUGCUAAUAAUACAUUAAAAAUAGGAAACCUCAGUAAAGAAAUAAAAUCUUUUUAAAAGAACCAAUGAAGGCCGGG
RNAcentral lists this long non-coding RNA (2391 nucleotides) under Homo sapiens (human). Its description in RNAcentral is "HSALNT0079998". Lineage: Eukaryota; Metazoa; Chordata; Mammalia; Primates; Hominidae. The record is from RNAcentral.